RNAcentral lists this ribosomal RNA (496 nucleotides) under uncultured bacterium. Its description in RNAcentral is "partial 16S ribosomal RNA". It matches the Rfam family "Bacterial small subunit ribosomal RNA", at positions 29 to 507 of the family's 1533-position model. The record is from RNAcentral.
AUGAACGCUGGCGGCGUGCCUAAUACAUGCAGGUCGAGCGAACGGACGAGAAGCUUGCUUCUCUGAUGUUAGCGGCGGACGGGUGAGUAACACGUGGAUAACCUACCUAUAAGACUGGGAUAACUUCGGGAAACCGGAGCUAAUACCGGAUAAUAUUUUGAACCGCAUGGUUCAAAAGUGAAAGACGGUCUUGCUGUCACUUAUAGAUGGAUCCGCGCUGCAUUAGCUAGUUGGUAAGGUAACGGCUUACCAAGGCAACGAUGCAUAGCCGACCUGAGAGGGUGAGCGGCCACACUGGAACUGAGACACGGUCCAGACUCCUACGGGAGGCAGCAGUAGGGAAUCUUCCGCAAUGGGCGAAAGCCUGACGGAGCAACGCCGCGUGAGUGAUGAAGGUCUUCGGAUCGUAAAACUCUGUUAUUAGGGAAGAACAUAUGUGUAAGUAACUGUGCACAUCUUGACGGUACCUAAUCAGAAAGCCACGGCUAACUACGUG